Molecule: non-coding RNA, 73 nt
Organism: Pelobates cultripes (western spadefoot toad)
Lineage: Eukaryota; Metazoa; Chordata; Amphibia; Anura; Pelobatidae
Source: the annotation of a GenBank genome assembly
GGGCUAGUGGUACAAUGGCUAUCAUGUCUGACUAUGGAUCAGAAGAUUCUAGGUUUAACUCCUGGCUGGCUUG